GGCCUGCAGCCACAGCUGCCCUCCAGCGGAGCACAGCACAUCCCAGCUGCCGGUACCCGGGCCUCGACUGUAUUUCAGAGAUCCUGAAGAAAAGAGCAGGCAUCAGAAAUUGGGCAGUGAGAUAUCCACUCACUCCGUUCUAACAGAGAUGCGAGGGUUUACCCACGUACCUCAAGGAACAAAUUCGCUACAAAUAAGAGACCCGCACACACGAACGCCCUCAGCAGAAAGAAGCCCCGACCCGCGGCGCUGCGCUCCGCACACACCGUAACGGCUCCCGCCGAAACCCACACCCGCCCCAGAGGGACCCCCGGCCUACAGCAAGAAUCGAAGGCAGCUUUCUGCCUCUUCCCGUCUCAACCACCGCCCGCCCCAAGCUCACAGCGCCUCAGGAGCCGAGCGGGCUGGGCGCUACCUCCACAGAAACAACGCAGCUAAAAGAAAGAAAAGGGAGAGUGGAGGUCGGAGCGCGGAGCCUUGGCGGGCGGAGUGAAAAGCAGCAUCGCGGAGCCGAGAGAGCCCGCCUCACCUGAGCUCACCCCAGAUGGCGGCGCGACCCGACCCCACCCCAUACGCCCCGCCUCACAGCGCAGCCCCGCGCUUCCGGUCCGCUGGCGGAAGUAGGCGCCGCGCGGGCCUGGCGCCCU
Molecule: long non-coding RNA, 647 nt
Organism: Gallus gallus (chicken)
Lineage: Eukaryota; Metazoa; Chordata; Aves; Galliformes; Phasianidae
Exons: 2
Source: RefSeq, a predicted model, not a curated record